This 85-nucleotide transfer RNA is filed under the name Felis catus (domestic cat). It matches the Rfam family "tRNA". Rfam says of the family: Transfer RNA (tRNA) molecules are approximately 80 nucleotides in length. Their secondary structure includes four short double-helical elements and three loops (D, anti-codon, and T loops). Further hydrogen bonds mediate the characteristic L-shaped molecular structure. tRNAs have two regions of fundamental functional importance: the anti-codon, which is responsible for specific mRNA codon recognition, and the 3' end, to which the tRNAs corresponding amino acid is attached (by aminoacyl-tRNA synthetases). tRNAs cope with the degeneracy of the genetic code in two manners: having more than one tRNA (with a specific anti-codon) for a particular amino acid; and 'wobble' base-pairing, i.e. permitting non-standard base-pairing at the 3rd anti-codon position. Lineage: Eukaryota; Metazoa; Chordata; Mammalia; Carnivora; Felidae. The record is from Rfam by way of RNAcentral.
GCCUGGGUGGCUCAGUUGGUUGAGCGGCCGACUUCGGCUCAGGUCACGAUCUCGCAGUCUGUGAGUUCGAGCCCCACAUCAGGCU